Molecule: long non-coding RNA, 584 nt
Organism: Helianthus annuus (common sunflower)
Lineage: Eukaryota; Viridiplantae; Streptophyta; Magnoliopsida; Asterales; Asteraceae
Exons: 3
Source: RefSeq, a predicted model, not a curated record
UAAAGCCUGAUAAUUGGUUUUGAGCGGGAUUUUGAUUUCUCCUCUUUUUCAUUCACGCGGUCGUCCCUCUGAAUUUCCUUUUUUAUUCUCCUAUUUAAUUGAAAUUGAAGCUUCUUCUUCUAAUCAAGAACCCUAAAUCCCUCCAUAUUCUACUUGGGCGAUUCCAAAGGUACGCUUUCAUCAUUCGAUUUCAUCUAGAUCUUGAACAAUAAUCUGAUGUAUGUGUUCUUUUUUCUAUCAAAUUGGUUAGAGUUACUGAAUCGGUAGAUUGAUUUACGACCUAGGGUUUAUAAAGUGUGCGAUUUGUUCGCCUUUUAGAUCAAAACUGUUGAUUAUAUAAUUUGAUUUCUCUUAACGAUUGGAUGUUAUAAACGUCCGUGAGCUUGAAUUGCAUGUUCUGAUGCAAGAAUUGGAUGUUAUAAACGUCCGUAGCUUGAAGAUUUCCUGAUCAAUGAGUGCAUGUAUGUGGGUAUUGUCAGGUCCAAACUGGAUCAGUUGCAAAGAUGUUUUCAGGUGCAAUUUGCAGCCGGGAGGGAUCUAAGGCCUGGACAAUUGGGGAGUAUGAUACAUACAUUAUCAAACUG